GCAAUUCGGCAUGGUCUGAUGUUGAUUUUCUUGUUUUUAUUGUUGUGAUUAUUUGUUAGUUAAUUAAAAUAUUAUUUUGUUGUUGUAUUGUUUUGAUUUAAUUUUUUUACUAUAGGUUAUUUGUACUGUAAGGGGUUGAGGUAGUUAAAUGUUUUUUUAAAAGCUGAUUUUGUUUGUCGUACCUUGUGUAUCAGGGUUUAUUGAAUUCUAUUAUUUAUUUUUGUUUCCCGAUUUUAAAGGAGUUAAUGACUUAUGUUAGUUGCUGUUUCAUUAGUAUUAAUAAUAAGUAGUUGGUAGUGAAAUGUUAUUCGUCUUUAGUGGUUUCUGGUUUUUCAAGAAAUGAAUUUAAUUCAUACGUCUUAUUUAAUUUCUGUUGUUGGUUAUUUAGUUUUAUUUGAUGUUAAGAUUAAGGGGGAUUAGCUCCUUAUUCUAGUUUUAUAAUUGGUUAUGAUUUAAUUAGUUUUGUGGAUUUUAUGGUGAUUUUCUAUUUGAUUAUGUUAAAAUUUUAUUUGUUCUUUUUUUUAUUUUUUGUUAUUUAAGUUAUUUAUUGAAAUGUUUUCUUUACCUUUGGUUUGUGUAGUAAUUAUUGUGUAAUUAGUAAAUUUGUUGGUUGUUAUAUUUAAAGUAGUAAGAGUAGUGUUAAGUAUUUUUGAGGAAUUAGGCAAAAUUUGUGUCCGCCUGUUUAACAAAAACAUCUUUUCUUGUUAGUUUUUGAAGUAUGGCCUGCCCACUGACAUAUUGUUGAAGGGCCGCGGUAUUUUGACCGUGCAAAGGUAGCAUAAUCAUUAGUUCUUUAAUUGUGAUCUGGUAUGAAUGGCUUGACGAGACAUGAGCUGUCUUAGGGGUAUUUAUUUUAAUUGAAUUUGGUUUUUGAGUUAAAAUUCUUAAAUGUUUUUAUGGGACGAGAAGACCCUAUAGAGUUUGACAUCUCCUUCUUACUAGUUUUUGUUUGUAUUUGUGUUUAUUGAGUGGGAGAGAUGUUUUGUUGGGGUGAUGGGAGGAAUGUAUUUAACUCCUCUUUAUUUUUAUAUAUUUAUUUAUAUUUUUUUGAUCCAUUUAUUUUGAUUAUAAGAUUAAAUUACCUUAGGGAUAACAGCGUUAUCUUCCUUGAGAGUUCUUAUUGGCGGGGAGGUUUGCGACCUCGAUGUUGGAUUAAGGUGAAUUUUCGGUGCAGGAGCUGAAAGUGAUUAGGUCUGUUCGACCUUUAAAAUCUUACAUGAUCUGAGUUCAGACCGGCGUGAGCCAGGUUGGUUUCUAUCUAUAGAAUUGUUUUAUAUCUUAGUACGAGAGGACCGGAUAUUUGGAAUAAUUUCAGUUGUUAUAUUGGUUUUUAUUAAUGUGGUACUAUUUUGGCAGAUAAGUGCAU
Molecule: ribosomal RNA, 1366 nt
Filed under: Nasutitermes lujae
Lineage: Eukaryota; Metazoa; Arthropoda; Insecta; Blattodea; Termitidae
Description: 16S ribosomal RNA
Rfam family: Bacterial large subunit ribosomal RNA (bases 896-1263)
Source: RNAcentral